This 404-nucleotide ribosomal RNA is filed under the name uncultured bacterium. RNAcentral describes it as "bacterial SSU rRNA". It matches the Rfam family "Bacterial small subunit ribosomal RNA", at positions 29 to 429 of the family's 1533-position model. The record is from RNAcentral.
AGUGGACGCUGGCGGCAGGCCUAACACAUGCAAGUCGAACGGCAGCACAGCAGUAGCAAUACUGUGGGUGGCGAGUGGCGGACGGGUGAGGAAUACAUCGGAAUCUGCCUAGUCGUGGGGGAUAACGUAGGGAAACUUACGCUAAUACCGCAUACGACCUACGGGUGAAAGCGGGGGAUCGCAAGACCUCGCGCGAUUAGAUGAGCCGAUGUCCGAUUAGCUAGUUGGCGGGGUAAUGGCCCACCAAGGCGACGAUCGGUAGCUGGUCUGAGAGGAUGAUCAGCCACACUGGAACUGAGACACGGUCCAGACUCCUACGGGAGGCAGCAGUGGGGGAAUAUUGGACAAUGGGCGCAAGCCUGAUCCAGCCAUGCCGCGUGGGUGAAGAAGGCCUCGGUUGUAAG